GCCUAAAUAUUCAAAGACUCCCAUGACAUAAUGACCCUGUUUGGGUAAAUCACCUGUACAUUUACAAAACAAGCCACUAAAUAAGCCUUUGGUGGCGACCAAAACAAUCAGAGAAGCUAAAUGUCCUACAUAAAAAAAGUGGGCGUCUCCAUUGGCUUGCAACAUCAAAAACAAGGCCGGAUCCUAAUCAAUGCCAAAUUAUCUGCAACAUGUUCAAUUAAGAUUCAAAGUUCAAUUGUUCCAUUAUGCUAACUGACUUCCUCGCAUACUAUAACAAAAAC
RNAcentral lists this long non-coding RNA (281 nucleotides) under Theobroma cacao (cacao). Its description in RNAcentral is "long non-coding RNA (TCAC_LNC005748)". Lineage: Eukaryota; Viridiplantae; Streptophyta; Magnoliopsida; Malvales; Malvaceae. The record is from RNAcentral.